Molecule: RNA transcript, 4491 nt
Organism: Oxyura jamaicensis (ruddy duck)
Lineage: Eukaryota; Metazoa; Chordata; Aves; Anseriformes; Anatidae
Exons: 2
Source: RefSeq, a predicted model, not a curated record
CGCCACACCCCGGAGGUACAAAGAGCCGGGGUGCUGAGCCCGGAGCCGCCAUCUGGUGGUGGAGGACGAGGAGGAGGAGAGGAGGACGAGGGUGCGCUGGGGACCGGUGUGUGGUGAGUGAGCGAGUGGCGGCGUUGGUCGUGUCCGGGGGUCUCCUCGUAGUGCUGCAGGCAGGCAGCGUCCCGUCCCGUCCCGUCCCGUCCUGUCCUGUCCUGUCCCAAGGGAGGGGUGCGAGCAGGCUGGUGACCCCGAGAUGUCGUGGCUAACGAGGGGGAUGAAGUCGAAGGAGAAGCCAGAGUCGGAGAGCUCUCUGACUCAGGAGGAGAGGGGGCUGUUGGUGCAGGCUAUGCUGGAGCACGGGGGCGAUCCUUGGGAUUACAAAGUGAUCAGCCAGGAUCCCACUCUCAAAGCCGCUGAAAGGCACUGGGUAAACUACAUUGCCACGUAUCAUCCUAAAGGAGAAAAGAAGUGCUCGGCCCUGCAGUGGCUGCUGUUCGAUCUGGCCAGUAUCUUGCAAGCCACAGUAGAAGAGAAGGAGCAAUGCAUAAAGACCUUGCAGAACAACUUGCAGGUGGCUCACAAUGAAAUCCUCGCGCUGCGCUGUGAUAACGCUCUGCUAAGCGAGCAGGCCGAGCAAGUAAGAAAAAUGAAAGAAGAACUCAGGGCAGAGAAUGCUGAUAAUGCCCGGUUAAGAAAGAAAGUGCAGUGCCUGGGUAAGCUGUUAUCCCUCGGGAAAGGCUUGGACCAAAGGAAGGUAGUGGCUCUGAGCGAGAUAAAUUGUAACCCAGAGACGUGGGAUGGGGAUACCUGGAAUGUGGAGAACCAGGAAAACUCUGCGGUGCAAGGGGUGGGGACCAGAAAAAUAAAGCCGGCGGAGGGAGAUGGAAGCCAGGGAGUGGGGGAUAUGUCCAGAAAAGAGAAAGUUUGGAAGAAACAGAGGGAGGGAUGGCCUGUGUGGGUAAACCGAAUUUGGACUUUAGAACAGCACACACCUUUCACAUACGAGGCAGCGAAGUGGGUGGUAACAGUCAUAGGGCUGCCUUGGCCCAAGGUGGGGGCGAUUAUCAGAGCCUUGCCCCCUGAAGAGGCACUGGGGGGAGAGAUCUUAAGGCUGGUGAUUAGAAAUCUGGGAGAAUAUGAGCCUCUCAAGGAUAACAUGGAAGGGGCGCCCUGGAGAGACGUCCAGGAGGCGUCAGCCUAUGUGUGUGGGAAUGUGGUGCUCCGGGUGCUAAAGCAGCAGGAGAAGCCAGUGACCACUGACUUCGACAUCCUCGGGGUGAAUGUGGAGCAGGCAGACAUAGGGGUUCUGGCAUGUCGUGCUCCAGAGGUGCAUAAGAGUUUUUUCAUCAGCCUGGGCUCUACUUUAAUUGGCCGUCCCCUCCAUGAGUGCAUAGCUAUGUUAGAGAACUUGGGGACCCUCGUGGGAGCGGGGGGAAAAGAGAAGGCAAAGAAGGAUGUGGUGGGGGUAAAGACAAGGACAUACAUCCCUAGAGGAAUAAUUUGGAGAUAUUUAAUAAAUCAGGGAGUGAAUGAAGGAGAGCUAGAUAGUCAGCCCACGGGAGUUUUACUUGCCAAAAUGAAAAAAAUCCUUCAGGAAAAGGGGAUGAAACAAGAGGAGAUUUGGGAAAAACUGAAGCAAACAAAACCAUCACCUCCUCCUUCUAUCCCAAAGAGAAAACUAUACCCAUCGCUGAGGGACCUUAAAGAUUAGGAGUCCCAGCCCCUGGUGUCAGUGGGAUUAACCUCCACCUCACUGACUUGGUAUUCAGGGGGCAGAGACUGUGUGGAGGUGCGGUGUCUGUUGAAGGGGGAGUGGGAGCUUACGAACACUUUCUUAGUUGAUACAGGAUCAGAAGCAGCAUUAGUAGAUUACUGGGGUCCCCCACUCCUGGGUAAAUCAAGCUGGAUGUUGGGAGUAGGAGGGGGGGAAAAUGAGGGGGGGGAGAAGUAGAAGUCCAGGUGUGCAUAAGGGAAGAUAAACUGGAUGGGCAGAUAAUCCUGGUAAAAGUGGGGGGGCAAGCACUUUAGGAAGGAAUUUCCUGUCUUAGUUCAUGGACAUCUGUCCAAGAGAAAACUUACUGUACUGCUGCUUCAGAAGAUGAAAAGGUGUCGUGAGUCGUGAAGUACUGGGAUGGAAGUGAAAACAAAAUUAGAGGCGAUAUGUAAAGUUGUAAAGAGCUGGAGACCCGCUCUUCCAUUCCCAGUACUGCUACAGUGCAGAAGCUCAGAACAGUUAUGAGGAGGGUCAGGAGGCACAACAAAGGUGUAAGAGAAUAUGAUUUUAAAUCCCUAUUUUCACGAUUCCUGUAGAAAUCCAGAGAUGUGGGUUAUGUGGACAGUGGAACAGCCUUGCACUGAAUUGUAAGUUUGUGUUGGGUUAUGUCUUUUACCCCUGGGAAAGGGGAACGUUUGAACAGUGUCAAAUUGAUUGUGUGGGCCCCUUAGAGAGAUCAAGAAGGGGGUUGGAUGAGUUUGUGUUUGUUGCCGUUGAUGCAACAAGAGGGGUAGAGGCCAUGGCAGUCUGUGCAGCUACUGCAAUGGUUUGGUGUUUGCGUGAAAUAUUGAACAGAUUUUGGUCCUCCAUUCUUAAUUAAUUCAGAAGCCCCUUGAUGUAUGCACCAGUACAGAAGUUACUUAAAGGGAUGGGGCUGUGUCAGUUAAAUCUUAUUUCCUGCCAUCUGCAGUCCUUCAGGAUGGUGGGAAAAGCUGAUAGCUCCAUCGAGGUGAGACUGAAGCUAACGGAGGAGGGCUGAGGUGGGACGAAGCACUAGUUUGUGUGUUGGGCUGUGCGAGCAAAGAAGACACGAGGUACCAGUGAUCACCCUUGUGAGCUGGUAUAUGGCUGUGGCCCAGAAAUGGAAAAAAUGGACAGUAAAUGGGCUAAACAAUUGUGUGCCUCAAACACCAACUCGAUCUUGGAACAGUCAGCUCAGCAGAGAGCAUGGGCUCAAGCAGCUCUCUGGAGUUACGCAGCUCAUGAACAGCAUACCAAUAUAAAAGAACAUUACAAUAAACCCCACUGGGACAUGUGGUCCAAUGCACACCCAUGUACCAAGGGGAAGGCCUAGAGAAAAUUCAGGGGUAAUUGUGGCUCUGUUCUGGGGAAACACAGUACUAACUGGAAACAAAGAAGUUUCAUGGGUAGAGGGGACUUGCUGCCAGAAAAUCAAAGAGAAUGUUUUUAACUAACUAACAAGGGAGACUGAAUUUUUUUUCAGAGACACAAAUGUUGCUGCGGGAUUGAUCACAGGUGUGGAUCACAGACAUCCUCUGCAAGAACCAUCUUCUUCGAGACCGGAGGACUAAUGACGUCUGUCUGUGAACUGACGGUCCAGCAGGACAGCAUGCAGAAGGACGCCAAGAAACUGGAGAGCGGACAACAAACUGCAAGUUGAUGGAUCACCUUAGAGAAUAAGGAACUGUUAGAACUGGAGACUGAUAGCAAAUUGUUAACUGUACGUUAUUGGUAUGACAUUUGCACGGAUGUGUCACCAAAAGCUAAUGCUAUGCAGUGUAAUCACAUAACCCUGUACUUGCUACUAGUUAUGACAGCAUUGCCCUUUAUCCUUCUGUACAUGCUCUGCUUCUUUCAAAAGGAAGGACCGCACUGACAUGCCCAGGUGAACAUCUCACAUACGCUGCUGUCCUAACAGCCAUGGUGGUUUCCAGCCGGAAGGGAUUGAGCUUACGAGCAUCCAGAGUGGUCUGCAUGUCCUUGGAGAAGGUCAGUCAGGCCAGGGGGUGACUUGUGAGUGAGAGGUCCUGCUGGAGCACAUGGCCCCGUGCAGCCACGGCCCUGGCAGUGAGUGGCCUAGGGCAGUGCAUGGCCAAAGCGUGGAGAACAGGCACCUCUGCUGCAGCUCUCUGGUGUGUGAGCUGCCAGACAAGGUCUUGCUUGUGCUUGGUUUGAGCUCGCAGAAGGAUCAAGGCUAAAGUGGAAUAAUUGUGUCUAAUAAUUAAAUGAGGAUAAACCCAGUGGGAAAACAACAGGGCGAGGGGCGACGUGAGGAUCUGGGCUGCCUGCAGCAGUUAUCCCCAUCUGUAACACUGUAUAAGGCUGUGCUUGCCUCAGUAAUGGUGUCAGGAAAACUACAUUUAGGUAUGGCUGUAGCAAAACUGGGACCAGUGGGGAGAAAGUUAGGGGCAGCUUGUUUAUUUAGGAGGGAAUUGGGUGGGGGAGAGACAAUGCGAGGGUGACAAAAAGGUGAACCUGAAUGAUGAGGUGUAAAACCCACCAACGAUGACCAGAGGACACGUGCCGAUGGCAGGAGUGUCACCUACAGCUGGUAGUAGACCCACGCAGCAGAGGAGAUCUGGGAUCACCACUCGGGCUCUCCAUCUAUGAGAUCUACGGCUCAUAGCUUCGUGGCUCUGCAUAAUGGUCUGCGUAACUGUAACUGAGCAGUGGUGUGUCACUUGGAUUAGCCAUUAUUUUUCUGUUUUGCCAGUUUCCUUGUAGUGUGUUCAUCAAUAAACAGUUUGCCUCAGGUA